This 434-nucleotide ribosomal RNA is filed under the name uncultured bacterium. RNAcentral describes it as "partial 16S ribosomal RNA". It matches the Rfam family "Bacterial small subunit ribosomal RNA", at positions 29 to 507 of the family's 1533-position model. The record is from RNAcentral.
AGCGAACGCUGGCGGCAGGCCUAACACAUGCAAGUCGUACGAACCUUUCGGUGCGAGUGUCCACCGGGUGAGUAACGCGUAGUAACACGUCAUUAGCCUCGGAAUAACUCUGGGAAAAUUGUGCUAAUAUCGAAUGUGUCCUUCUGAUGAUAGAUUUAUCCCCGUUAGAGCUUCCCGCGUCUGAUUAGCUAUGUGGUUGAGGUAAUGGAUCACCCUGGCGACGAUCAGUAGCUGGUCUGAGAGGAUGAUCAGCCACAUUGGGACUGAGACACGGCCCAAACUCCUACGGGAGGCAGCAGUGGGGAAUCUUGCGCAAUGGGCGAAAGGCUGACGCAGCCAUGCCGCGUGAAUGAUGAAGGUCUUAGGAUUGUAAAAUUCUUUCACCGGGGACGAUAAUGACGGUACCCGGAGAAGAAGCCCCGGCUAACUUCGUG